Molecule: ribosomal RNA, 255 nt
Filed under: uncultured bacterium
Lineage: Bacteria
Description: partial 16S ribosomal RNA
Rfam family: Bacterial small subunit ribosomal RNA
Source: RNAcentral
UACAGAGGGUGCAAGCGUUGUUCGGAAUUAUUGGGCGUAAAGCGCGUGUAGGCGGCUUUGCAAGUCGGGGUGUGAAAGCCCUCAGCUUAACUGAGGAAGUGCGCCCGAAACUGCAGAGCUCGAGUGCCGGAGAGGAAAGCGGAAUACCUGGUGUAGAGGUGAAAUUCGUAGAUAUCAGGUGGAACACCAGUGGCGAAGGCGGCUUUCUGGACGGUAACUGACGCUGAGACGCGAAAGCGUGGGGGAGCAAACAGG